RNAcentral lists this transfer RNA (73 nucleotides) under Candidatus Melainabacteria bacterium GWF2_32_7. RNAcentral describes it as "tRNA-Ala". It matches the Rfam family "tRNA". Rfam says of the family: Transfer RNA (tRNA) molecules are approximately 80 nucleotides in length. Their secondary structure includes four short double-helical elements and three loops (D, anti-codon, and T loops). Further hydrogen bonds mediate the characteristic L-shaped molecular structure. tRNAs have two regions of fundamental functional importance: the anti-codon, which is responsible for specific mRNA codon recognition, and the 3' end, to which the tRNAs corresponding amino acid is attached (by aminoacyl-tRNA synthetases). tRNAs cope with the degeneracy of the genetic code in two manners: having more than one tRNA (with a specific anti-codon) for a particular amino acid; and 'wobble' base-pairing, i.e. permitting non-standard base-pairing at the 3rd anti-codon position. RNAcentral also lists the same sequence under 3 other names. The record is from RNAcentral. Lineage: Bacteria; Bacillati; Candidatus Melainabacteria.
GGGGCGUUGGCGCAGUUGGUAGCGCGCUUCAAUGGCAUUGAAGAGGCCACGAGUUCGAAUCUCGUACGCUCCA